CAUUACCGAGUUUACAACUCCCAAACCCCUGUGAACAUACCUUAUGUUGCCUCGGCGGAUCAGCCCGCGCCCCGUAAAAAGGGACGGCCCGCCGCAGGAACCCUAAACUCUGUUUUUAGUGGAACUUCUGAGUAUAAAAAACAAAUAAAUCAAAACUUUCAACAACGGAUCUCUUGGUUCUGGCAUCGAUGAAGAACGCAGCAAAAUGCGAUAAGUAAUGUGAAUUGCAGAAUUCAGUGAAUCAUCGAAUCUUUGAACGCACAUUGCGCCCGCCAGUAUUCUGGCGGGCAUGCCUGUUCGAGCGUCAUUUCAACCCUCAAGCCCAGCUUGGUGUUGGGAGCUGCAGUCCUGCUGCACUCCCCAAAUACAUUGGCGGUCACGUCGAGCUUCCAUAGCGUAGUAAUUUACACAUCGUUACUGGUAAUCGUCGCGGCCACGCCGUUAAACCCCAACUUCUGAAUGUUGACCUCGGAUCAGGUAGGAAUACCCGCUGAACUUAAGCAUAUCAA
RNAcentral lists this ribosomal RNA (509 nucleotides) under Fusarium culmorum. Its description in RNAcentral is "eukaryotic LSU rRNA". The stretch from base 154 to 307 matches the Rfam family "5.8S ribosomal RNA". Lineage: Eukaryota; Fungi; Ascomycota; Sordariomycetes; Hypocreales; Nectriaceae. The record is from RNAcentral.